This 393-nucleotide ribosomal RNA is filed under the name uncultured bacterium. RNAcentral describes it as "partial 16S ribosomal RNA". It matches the Rfam family "Bacterial small subunit ribosomal RNA", at positions 523 to 918 of the family's 1533-position model. The record is from RNAcentral.
AUACGGAAGGUCCGGGCGUUAUCCGGAUUUACUGGGUUUAAAGGGAGCGCAGGCGGGUUAUUAAGCGGGACGUGAAAUGUAGCCGCUCAACGGCUGAACUGCGUCGCGAACUGGUAGUCCUGAGUGAGUAAGGAGCGGACGGAAUUUGUGGGGUAGCGGUGAAAUGCUUAGAUAUCACGAAGAACUCCGAUUGCGAAGGCAGUCCGCGAGUCCUUUACUGACGCUAAAGCUCGAAGGUGCGGGUAUCGAACAGGAUUAGAUACCCUGGUAGUCCGCACGGUAAACGAUGGAUGCCCGCUGUUGGCGAUACACAGUCAGCGGCCAAGCGAAAGCGUUAAGCAUCCCACCUGGGGAGUACGCCGGCAACGGUGAAACUCAAAGGAAUUGACGGGG